GAACCACUCCGAUCUGGGGUAAGAAUGCUGGAUGAAAUUCUAGAUGAUCUGAAGCCUCACCACUGACUUGCUAUAAGAUUUGGGCCAAGCCAAUCUCACUGAGCUGCCAAUCAUCUGGAAAGAUGCGAGCACAGAGAGGCAAGAUUGCACAGUGGCCUCAUGCCGGACACCAGGCCCUGGACUCCAGAUUUUCCAGGAGCCUAGGGUGCUUUUCAUCUUCUCUCAUCCCUCACAGCAUCUUCUCUUACGGUGAUGAACUCAAGUUCACAGACUUCAUCUUUUGCAGCCCUCAGCACCCUGUGAGGAGUGAGGGGCGAGGGUAGGGCCUGGGUGCUCCGCUCCUAGCCCCCGUGUGACCGAAUUGCAGGAUUUCCCAGACAGCUGACAUGCAGGCAGCCAUGUGCCCCAGCUGGCUCCAGGGACUUGGGCCCAGCAGGCUCCUGGCGCCAACGUGGCCAGCUCCCGGGGCCCAGCUGGUCUCUGGAGGAGGAAAACAGAGACAAGCUGGUGCUCAAACAUUUACCAGCAAACCAGUGGCAUUCACCCAUUUUCCUCAAGGCAGAAGAGACACUAGUCUUGCUGGGAUACACUCAAGCAGAAUCUGGAAAGACUUCAGGUUGAGUAAAUGCUCAGAAAGGAGACAAAUUUGGAGUCCUUUCAAAUUUAUCUUCAUGACAAAGUUCUGAAAUGAUGCAUAGGGAACAUAUUUGCAUCCUUAGUAAUAAGACACUGGUAAGUACAUAACACUAAACAAUCACUAUCUCAGGUGUGAGAAUGAAGUCCACAGCUAGAAGGAGAGUUAGGCAGGUGACAAAUCCAAGGUGAAAAGGGCAGAAUCUCCUCCAUGAUGAGGAAAAGACCUAAGACUGGUCUCAAAUUUCAGUCACUGGGCUGGGUAAAAAAUGUGGAGGGGGCGAAUAUUUAGGGUAUGGGAUAAAUAAAUGAAAACAGGUUUGAAUUCUGACGAGGCAGUCUCAGAAAUCAAGAACUGAAUCCAGAACUAAGGCUCUGCUGUGGCCUGGGCUUCAGAAACAGUGCCCUAGUAGCCAGGAGGAAGAUGUCCUUGAAGAGACACAUUGCCCUAGUUCAGACGACGGGCCUUGCUAUUACGAGUGUUGACACUGUAGAUGUUUGAGGUGAGGGAUGCAGGAGUAUGGCUCCGGGAUGAGAAAAGUCAGGAGAGGAAGCAAGGAGUUAAUUAAGUGGAAGGGAAACAAAGAAGAAAAUCUACUAGAACCCGGGUCCGUUCAUAGAACCUGGGUCCGUUCAAACAUCGAGGCCUUUCUGAAAUUUGCUUCCCUCUGCUCCCACCGGCAUGGCAGAUGGGCAGCUGGAGGGUCUGAUACUCACACACCCAGGCCCACAGUGAGCCCAGAUCCUUUUCCAACUGACUCCACUUCGAUGCGUUUUCCUUCCUAGACUUAAUCUUUUCCUACAUCUGUUCUCUCUAAAAUACUCAUUCUAGGCUGGACAUAAUGGCUCACAGCUGUAAUCCUGGCACUGUGGGAGGCCUAGGCAGGAGAAUCACUUGGGCCCAGGAGUUUGAGACCAGUCUGGGCAACAUAGUGAGACCCCGUCUUUACAAAAAUAUUAGCUGGGCAUGGUGGCAUGUGCCUGUCGUUCAAGCUGCUCAAGAGACUGGGGCAAUAGGAUCACUUGAGCCCAAGAGGCUGAGGCUGCAGUGAGCCAUGAUUGCACCACUGCACUGCAGCCUGGGCAACAGAGCAAGAACCUGUUCCAAAACUAAGAUAAUAAAAUAAAGUAAACUCCUCAUUCUAGGGCAAAGAGUGUAACAUAUCAAUGAUUAUUUCUGGUUUUGUCACUAGUUCUCCCAAUCCCCCAUCCUAUUUAAGUUUUGGUAUCCAGAAGUUUUUCCUAACUGCUGUCCUGAGACCUUCCUACCAUAUGCAGCCGUUCUCUCCUACCUCACUCCCAGCGGAAGUUGAGGUUAGGUAUUCAGCACUCGAUAUAUAAUGUCCCUACUGCAUAUUCCACCGUGUUUAAUGACUUAUCCAUCGCCUUAUGUUCCUACACGUUUGUAAAUACCUCAGCUGCUGAAGACAGGAGGAAAGGGUAAAAUCAGCCUGCAAGAAACUCUGGAAGACUUUUUACUGGAUUCUCCUUUGAAUGGUACAUGUGGAGUUUCUCUUAAUGAGCUAAAUUGGUUUCAUUAUUUGUAAUUGGGCUGCAGGUAACUCCUUUAAAAGGCAGGUUAUUCCCCCAGAGAUGUGAGCAGAACACUCGUGGCCUGCCUGUGAGGCUCUGGAAUGCCCUGCGGGUCUCUCUGGUCCUGACUUGGAGUGCUUCAGGCUGAUGCUUCUGGAGCUCACAGCCUUUCAUUUGCAGACUAUACUUUUUCCUUCUUUCUUGCAAACCUCAUGCUUUCCUAUUACUUACCUCACUGUUAAAAAGAUGUGACAUAUUGUUGUCUGCUAACCUGGACGUACUUCAGAAACGCAUAGUUCUCUUCCCUCUCCUCUUUUUCUACACUCUAGUUAUAUUGUUAUUGUUUAGUACUUUUUUAUUCCAAAAUGCUUGGGAGCAAUGCAUAGCACCAACUGCGUGGACUCCUCUCUGCCAAUCUCUGCAGGAAACGCUCCAGAUUACAAACUGACACUCAGGCACCUCCGUGUACUUGGAACAUCUAAAGGAGCAAUAUGCAUAUGCUAUACUUAUAUACUUAUCACACACACACACAAGCCUGAAUCUGAGGAGUUCAAUAUGUUUUACAGAAAACACAAAACAAUCUUCAGCAAAGAACUUGGACAAUCAAACGUUGUAUUAGUUUGGUGAAAAGUAAUUGCAUUUUUUUUGCCAUUAAAAGUAAUAACCAAAACUGCGAUUUCUUUUGCACCAACCUGAUACAACUUAAAUGCUAUUGAUUUAGUCACAUUUCCUGAAGCAUGACUCGUAAAUGAAGAUAUUUAAAAAGGCAAUAUUGUUCAUGGAGUGGGAAUCUGGCCUGAGAACAAAAGAGAUUAUUUCUAAGAUGUUUCGAUUCCUGGAGGGAUUUAGACAAAUCAUUUGACUUAUUGGAGACUGAGUCUCCACAUUUUAAAUCAAGACACUGGGGGCUACAGGCAUUCUGAGAUGAUGUCCAGCUCAAAAAUCCAUCUUCUAAAUUCAAAUACUUUACAUUGAAUGAUUUCAUCACAAUCUAUAUUAAUGUAACUGUCCAGAAAUUGGGGUAAUCUCACUAUUUUGUCUUUUUAAAAAAUAAAUGUUUUGACUUUCAGCAGAUUUUGAUCUACAGAAGAAAUCACAGACUCUGUAGAGAACUCAGAGAGUGCUGCUAAAUCUCACUCUUGAGUUCUCCUAGUAAAGAUCUUAUUUACUAUAGCAUAGCCUUUUACAAUUGAAAAACAGUAUUAAUACAUUCUUAUUAACUAAAAUCAAUGUUUUAUUUAGAUAGCUCUAGUUUUUACUUAAUGUCUUUUUUUUUUUUUUGGUCCAGGUUUGCAGCCACAAACCACAUUCCACUUAGUCACCAUGUUUCCUUAGGCACUUCUGGGCUGUGAUAGCUUCUUGGGUUUUCCUUGUUUUUGAUUACUUUAUAGGUUUGAAGAGUAUUGGCCAGGUAUUUUGUAGCAUGUCCUUUACUUGCGAUUUGUCUGAUGUUUAUCUCAUGAUUAGAUUGGGCUGUGAGUUUGAAAAAGGAAGACCACAGGGAUAAAGUGUCAUUUUUAUCACCUUAUAUCAAGUGCAUAUACCAUC
This 3714-nucleotide long non-coding RNA is filed under the name Macaca mulatta (Rhesus monkey). Its description in RNAcentral is "lncRNA (ENSMMUG00000052411.1)". The record is from RNAcentral. Lineage: Eukaryota; Metazoa; Chordata; Mammalia; Primates; Cercopithecidae.